AUUUCUUCAUACUGAAUGUAUGCUGGGUUUUGAUUCCCUGUGCUGGAUAUAUGCUUCAGGCUGUUAUCCAGCAGGGGACUUAACCAUUAUCUAAAUAAAAUUGUAUCUCAUUUGGAUCUCUGCAAUGGGUGCAGACAUCUGUGG
Long non-coding RNA from Bufo gargarizans (Asiatic toad), 144 nucleotides. RefSeq lists it as uncharacterized. The transcript has 3 exons. Lineage: Eukaryota; Metazoa; Chordata; Amphibia; Anura; Bufonidae. The record is from RefSeq and is a predicted model, not a curated record.